AGGACCCUUCCGGAGGGCCCCCCCCAAUCCUGUUGUGCUUGGUUCAGAGGGUUGGGCGGAGGCUUUCCUGAAGGGUCUG
This is a microRNA precursor of Bos grunniens (domestic yak), 79 nucleotides long. NCBI's taxonomy places the organism in Eukaryota, Metazoa, Chordata, Mammalia, Artiodactyla, Bovidae. The record is from Ensembl.